This 277-nucleotide ribosomal RNA is filed under the name uncultured bacterium. RNAcentral describes it as "partial 16S ribosomal RNA". It matches the Rfam family "Bacterial small subunit ribosomal RNA", at positions 28 to 307 of the family's 1533-position model. The record is from RNAcentral.
GACGAACGCUGGCGGCGUGCUUAACACAUGCAAGUCGAACGGAAAGGCCCUGCUUGCAGGGUACUCGAGUGGCGAACGGGUGAGUAACACGUGGGUGAUCUGCCCUGCACUUCGGGAUAAGCCUGGGAAACUGGGUCUAAUACCGGAUAGGAGCCAUUUUUAGUGUGAUGGUUGGAAAGUUUUUUCGGUGUAGGAUGAGCUCGCGGCCUAUCAGCUUGUUGGUGGGGUAAUGGCCUACCAAGGCGGCGACGGGUAGCCGGCCUGAGAGGGUGGACGG